Molecule: ribosomal RNA, 397 nt
Filed under: uncultured Anaerolineaceae bacterium
Lineage: Bacteria; Bacillati; Chloroflexota; Anaerolineae; Anaerolineales; Anaerolineaceae
Description: bacterial SSU rRNA
Rfam family: Bacterial small subunit ribosomal RNA
Source: RNAcentral
GAACUUACCAGGUUGACAUACAAGUGGUAGAGAAGCGAAAGUGGAUCGACCUUCGGGAGCUUGUACAGGUGCUGCAUGGCUGUCGUCAGCUCGUGUCGUGAGAUGUUCGGUUAAGUCCGCUAACGAGCGCAACCCUCGCUGUGUGUUACAAGUGUCACACGGAACUGCCGGUCAUAAACCGGAGGAAGGUGGGAUGACGCCAAGUCAGCAUGGCCUUUAUAUCCUGGGCUACACACACGCUACAAUGGAAGGGACAAUAGGUUGCGAAGCCGCGAGGCGGAGCCAAUCCAGCAAACUUCCCUCAGUUCAGAUUGCAGGCUGCAACUCGCCUGCAUGAAGUUGGAGUUGCUAGUAAACGCAGGUCAGCCAUACUGCGUUGAAUACGUUCCCGGGGCUU